GCCGAAGUGGCGGAAUUGGCAGACGCGCAUGGUUGAGGGCCAUGUGAGCGCAAGCUCGUGCGAGUUCGAGUCUCGCCUUCGGCACCA
Molecule: transfer RNA, 87 nt
Filed under: Acidobacteriota bacterium
Lineage: Bacteria; Pseudomonadati; Acidobacteriota
Description: tRNA-Leu
Rfam family: tRNA
About the family: Transfer RNA (tRNA) molecules are approximately 80 nucleotides in length. Their secondary structure includes four short double-helical elements and three loops (D, anti-codon, and T loops).
Source: RNAcentral